This 207-nucleotide ribosomal RNA is filed under the name uncultured bacterium. RNAcentral's name for it is "partial 16S ribosomal RNA". It matches the Rfam family "Bacterial small subunit ribosomal RNA", at positions 568 to 774 of the family's 1533-position model. The record is from RNAcentral.
CGCGCAGGCGGCUCUUUAAGUCAGGCGUGAAAGCCCGAGGCUAAACCUCGGAAGUGCGUUUGAUACUGGAGAGCUUGAGUACGGGAGAGGGAAGUGGAAUUCCUGGUGUAGAGGUGAAAUUCGUAGAUAUCAGGAGGAACACCGGUGGCGAAGGCGACUUCCUGGACCGAUACUGACGCUGAGGCGCGAAAGCGUGGGGAGCAAACA